AUUGAACGCUGGCGGCAUGCCUUACACAUGCAAGUCGAACGGCAGCAUGGGUGCUCGUCCCUGGUGGCUAGUGGCUAACGGGUGAGUAAUACAUCGUAACAUGUCUUGCUGUGGGGGAUAGCUCGGUGAGAGCAGGUUUAAUACCGCCUACGUUCUACGGAUGAAAGCGGGUGUCCUUCGUUCCUGGCGCAUUACGUUUGGCCGGUGGCUGAUUAGCUAGUUGGUUGGGUAAAUGCCUACCAAGGCGGCGGUCAGUAGCUGGGCUGAGAGGGAGACCAGCCACACUGGGACUGGGACACGGCCCAGACUCCUACGGGAAGGAGCAGUGGGGAAAUUUGGAGAAAGGGCGAAAGCCUGAUCGAGGAAUGCCGCGUGUGUUAAGAAGGGCUUCGGGUUGGAAAACACUUUUGUCCGGAAAGAAAGGCAUGGAGCUAAAAAGGUCGGGGGAUGACGGUACCGGAAGAAUAAGCAACGGCUAACUACGUG
RNAcentral lists this ribosomal RNA (486 nucleotides) under uncultured bacterium. Its description in RNAcentral is "partial 16S ribosomal RNA". It matches the Rfam family "Bacterial small subunit ribosomal RNA", at positions 30 to 507 of the family's 1533-position model. The record is from RNAcentral.